This 76-nucleotide transfer RNA is filed under the name Roseateles saccharophilus. Its description in RNAcentral is "tRNA-Lys". It matches the Rfam family "tRNA". From Rfam's summary of the family: Transfer RNA (tRNA) molecules are approximately 80 nucleotides in length. The record is from RNAcentral. Lineage: Bacteria; Pseudomonadati; Pseudomonadota; Betaproteobacteria; Burkholderiales; Sphaerotilaceae. RNAcentral also lists the same sequence under 29 other names.
GGGAUGUUAGCUCAGUCGGUAGAGCAGCGGACUUUUAAUCCGUUGGUCGCAGGUUCGAAUCCUGCACAUCCCACCA